Molecule: ribosomal RNA, 496 nt
Filed under: uncultured bacterium
Lineage: Bacteria
Description: partial 16S ribosomal RNA
Rfam family: Bacterial small subunit ribosomal RNA
Source: RNAcentral
GAUGAACGCUGGCGGCGUGCCUAAUACAUGCAAGUCGAGCGAACAGACGAGGAGCUUGCUCCUCUGACGUUAGCGGCGGACGGGUGAGUAACACGUGGAUAACCUACCUAUAAGACUGGGAUAACUUCGGGAAACCGGAGCUAAUACCGGAUAAUAUAUUGAACCGCAUGGUUCAAUAGUGAAAGACGGUUUUGCUGUCACUUAUAGAUGGAUCCGCGCCGCAUUAGCUAGUUGGUAAGGUAACGGCUUACCAAGGCAACGAUGCGUAGCCGACCUGAGAGGGGGAUCGGCCACACUGGAACUGAGACACGGUCCAGACUCCUACGGGAGGCAGCAGUGGGGAAUCUUCCGCAAGGGGCGAAGGCCUGACGGAGCAACGCCGGGUGAGUGAGGAAGUUCUUCGGAUCGUAAAACCCUUUUAUUAGGAAAAAACAAAGUUGAAAGUAACUAUGCACGCCUGGACGGUACCUAAUCAGAAAGCCACGGCUAACUACGU